This is a long non-coding RNA of Anarrhichthys ocellatus (wolf-eel), 433 nucleotides long. RefSeq lists it as uncharacterized. The transcript is spliced from 3 exons. The record is from RefSeq and is a predicted model, not a curated record. NCBI's taxonomy places the organism in Eukaryota, Metazoa, Chordata, Actinopteri, Perciformes, Anarhichadidae.
GUGAUGGAUGAAGAUGAAGAGCUGGAGAGAGGGAUGCUGAGUAUCUCUCCUCCCCAAGCAACAUGUGCAGAGCUGCUUUUUCCUUAGAACCAUCUGCUGCACUGGCUGCACCAACUCAUCUGAAGGGUUCACAUAGAGGCUCUAACUGUAAAGAGACCAGUGCCUGUUCCCCAGGACCUCAUGUGUCUGCUGCCAGAAGGAGCGGGUCGUCCAUCAACAGUUCCUGGUGUGUAUUAUUUCACCUGUAUUUGCAUCUUUAAAUUAUCCAUAUGUAGUUUCCAUCAAAACUGUUGUUAAUUCUUUAAAGUUGCUGGUGCACUGUAUUCGGACAAAAAGUAGAGUUUCACAGACUACAGUGUAGAUGUCAUGUUACAUUCUUGCUUCACGUUACUGUCAAUGAUAAUAACAUGUUUAAUAUUCUCUAUAGUGUCAG